Molecule: transfer RNA, 74 nt
Filed under: Myxococcales bacterium
Lineage: Bacteria; Pseudomonadati; Myxococcota; Myxococcia; Myxococcales
Description: tRNA-Met
Rfam family: tRNA
About the family: Transfer RNA (tRNA) molecules are approximately 80 nucleotides in length. Their secondary structure includes four short double-helical elements and three loops (D, anti-codon, and T loops). Further hydrogen bonds mediate the characteristic L-shaped molecular structure. tRNAs have two regions of fundamental functional importance: the anti-codon, which is responsible for specific mRNA codon recognition, and the 3' end, to which the tRNAs corresponding amino acid is attached (by aminoacyl-tRNA synthetases). tRNAs cope with the degeneracy of the genetic code in two manners: having more than one tRNA (with a specific anti-codon) for a particular amino acid; and 'wobble' base-pairing, i.e. permitting non-standard base-pairing at the 3rd anti-codon position.
Source: RNAcentral
GGCUGGGUAGCUCAAUCGGUUAGAGCGGCGGUCUCAUAAUCCGCAGGUUGGCGGUUCGAUUCCGCCCUCCGCCA